RNAcentral lists this ribosomal RNA (164 nucleotides) under Senecio depauperatus. RNAcentral's name for it is "5.8S ribosomal RNA". It matches the Rfam family "5.8S ribosomal RNA". Rfam says of the family: 5.8S ribosomal RNA (5.8S rRNA) is a component of the large subunit of the eukaryotic ribosome. It is transcribed by RNA polymerase I as part of the 45S precursor that also contains 18S and 28S rRNA. Lineage: Eukaryota; Viridiplantae; Streptophyta; Magnoliopsida; Asterales; Asteraceae. The record is from RNAcentral.
CAAACGACUCUCGGCAACGGAUAUCUCGGCUCACGCAUCGAUGAAGAACGUAGCAAAAUGCGAUACUUGGUGUGAAUUGCAGAAUCCCGUGAACCAUCGAGUUUUUGAACRCAAGUUGCGCCCGAAGUCUUUUGACUGAGGGCACGUCUGCCUGGGCGUCACAC